GACGAACGCUGGCGGCGUGCUUAACACAUGCAAGUCGAACGGAAAGGCCCUGCUUUUGUGGGGUGCUCGAGUGGCGAACGGGUGAGUAACACGUGAGUAACCUGCCCUUGACUUUGGGAUAACUUCAGGAAACUGGGGCUCAUACCGGAUAGUAGCUCCUGCUUCAUGGUGGGGGUUGGAAAGUUUCGGCGGUUGGGGAUGGACUCGCGGCUUAUCAGCUUGUUGGUGGGGUAGUGGCUUACCAAGGCUUUGACGGGUAGCCGGCCUGAGAGGGUGACCGGCCACAUUGGGACUGAGAGACGGCCCAGACUCCUACGGGAGGCAGCAGUGGGGAAUAUUGCACAAUGGGCGGAAGCCUGAUGCAGCAACGCCGCGUGCGGGAUGACGGCCUUCGGGUUGUAAACCGCUUUCGCCUGUGACGAAGCGUGAGUGACGGUAAUGGGUAAAGAAGCACCGGCUAACUACGUG
This 468-nucleotide ribosomal RNA is filed under the name uncultured bacterium. RNAcentral describes it as "partial 16S ribosomal RNA". It matches the Rfam family "Bacterial small subunit ribosomal RNA", at positions 28 to 507 of the family's 1533-position model. The record is from RNAcentral.